CUUCCGCUCUAGCCCUGGGACCCUACUGGGCACUUGGGGCGAUGUUCUCUGGGAGCUCUGACUCGGAGGGCCCUCUGGACUGUCCGUCUACCAGGACUCUUACUGUACUCCUGUUACCCCUUUUUACCUACAGUGCAAAGGGGCACAGUUCAUCUUGAACAUCACUCUUACUCCAGAUCUUCUGUGAAAUUCAAGGCAAAUCAAAUAUCCCACCCUAAGUGCAACCUGGAGAGAAAACAGGCCACAUCUGGGAUCCUGCAACAGCCGUGAGUAGAACAAUCGCUUGUGUCUGGAGCAUCCAUCAUGGGCCGAGGUCCUACAGCAGCUUGGCCUGAAGGAGCCACCACCAUCACCGCUGCCUUCACCGCGGCCCGUGCUUUAUUAGAAUUUAUAUGUUGCCCCGAUUGA
Molecule: long non-coding RNA, 408 nt
Organism: Talpa occidentalis (Iberian mole)
Lineage: Eukaryota; Metazoa; Chordata; Mammalia; Eulipotyphla; Talpidae
Exons: 3
Source: RefSeq, a predicted model, not a curated record